UGCCAAGAGAUGGCGGAUGUGAGCAUAUCCCUUCAGUUCAGACCAUAUUUACAUAGUUUAGCUAUGACAUGGGCCUGGAGUUUUCUCUGCUCAAUUCAGGCAUAACAAUCAGCUAGACUGAAACUCAUUGUUUGCAUGCAAUUCAGAGAGGAUAAGUAGUUAAGAAGACCCAACACUGACAUCCGUCAAGGGUAUGCCAUUUCACCAUGUGACACAUAGAGUAAGCCCGUGGCAGUUUGAAAGGCAGAUGCAAUGUUCUCUGCUCUGCGAUCCCUGCUGUCAAGAGUCUGCUGUAAUUGGUACAGAUUUAGCAGAACUAUAAACCCUUAUGAAGAGGAUCACAAAAUGACUAUGAGAAUGGAACAGCUUCCUCACAAAGGCGCAAUAAAAAGACCACAUUUUUCAACAUGGGAAGGACAGUUGCCAGUCUUGGACGGAUUUCAGUUGCUCCUGGCAGCAGUCACCUCACCAGUUCAUGUUCUGCCCAGUGUUGCGUAACCUCUAAACAAGCCUCCUGACUUGAGCAGUUUCUGACCAUUUUUCACCACCACCUACACCUUCCACCCACCCUGAGCGUCAGCUACGAAGUUUGGUAAUGCCCAGCUAGUUCAUACAGGAUAAGA
Non-coding RNA from Equus caballus (horse), 623 nucleotides. The record is from RefSeq and is a predicted model, not a curated record. NCBI's taxonomy places the organism in Eukaryota, Metazoa, Chordata, Mammalia, Perissodactyla, Equidae.